AGUGAACGCUGGCGGUAGGCCUAACACAUGCAAGUCGAACGGCAGCACAGUAAGAGCUUGCUCUUACGGGUGGCGAGUGGCGGACGGGUGAGGAAUACAUCGGAAUCUACUUUUUCGUGGGGGAUAACGUAGGGAAACUUACGCUAAUACCGCAUACGACCUACGGGUGAAAGCAGGGGAUCUUCGGACCUUGCGCGAUUGAAUGAGCCGAUGUCGGAUUAGCUAGUUGGCGGGGUAAAGGCCCACCAUGGCGACGAUCCGUAGCUGGUCUGAGAGGAUGGUCAGCCACACUGGAACUGAGACACGGUCCAGACUCCUACGGGAGGCAGCAGUGGGGAAUAUUGGACAAUGGGCGCAAGCCUGAUCCAGCCAUACCGCGUGGGUGAAGAAGGCCUUCGGGUUGUAAAGCCCUUUUGUUGGGAAAGAAAAGCAGCAGGUUAAUACCCCGCUGUUCUGACGGUACCCAAAGAAUAAGCACCGGCUAACUUCGUG
This 492-nucleotide ribosomal RNA is filed under the name uncultured bacterium. Its description in RNAcentral is "partial 16S ribosomal RNA". It matches the Rfam family "Bacterial small subunit ribosomal RNA", at positions 29 to 507 of the family's 1533-position model. The record is from RNAcentral.